GUUUUAGUAUAAGAAUGUCCCAUGUAAUAUUUGGAAUAUCCUUAUACUAAAA
RNAcentral lists this microRNA precursor (52 nucleotides) under Papio anubis (olive baboon). RNAcentral's name for it is "mir-1302 microRNA precursor family". It matches the Rfam family "mir-1302 microRNA precursor family". The record is from Rfam by way of RNAcentral. Lineage: Eukaryota; Metazoa; Chordata; Mammalia; Primates; Cercopithecidae.